RNAcentral lists this ribosomal RNA (579 nucleotides) under uncultured bacterium. RNAcentral's name for it is "partial 16S ribosomal RNA". It matches the Rfam family "Bacterial small subunit ribosomal RNA", at positions 355 to 932 of the family's 1533-position model. The record is from RNAcentral.
UGGGGAAUUUUGGACAAUGGGGGAAACCCUGAUCCAGCCAUCCCGCGUGUGCGAUGAAGGCCUUCGGGUUGUAAAGCACUUUUGGCAGGAAAGAAACGUCGCGGGUUAAUACCCCGCGAAACUGACGGUACCUGCAGAAUAAGCACCGGCUAACUACGUGCCAGCAGCCGCGGUAAUACGUAGGGUGCAAGCGUUAAUCGGAAUUACUGGGCGUAAAGCGUGCGCAGGCGGUUCGGAAAGAAAGAUGUGAAAUCCCAGAGCUUAACUUUGGAACUGCAUUUUUAACUACCGGGCUAGAGUGUGUCAGAGGGAGGUGGAAUUCCGCGUGUAGCAGUGAAAUGCGUAGAUAUGCGGAGGAACACCGAUGGCGAAGGCAGCCUCCUGGGAUAACACUGACGCUCAUGCACGAAAGCGUGGGGGGCAAACAGGAUUAGAUACCCUGGUAGUCCACGCCCUAAACGAUGUCAACUAGCUGUUGGGGCCUUCGGGCCUUGGUAGCGCAGCUAACGCGUGAAGUUGACCGCCUGGGGAGUACGGUCGCAAGAUUAAGACUCAAAUGAAUUGACGGGGUCAUAGCUG